UACGUAGGGUGCGAGCGUUGUCCGGAAUUAUUGGGCGUAAAGGGCUCGUAGGCGGUUUGUCGCGUCGGGAGUGAAAACACCGGGCUUAACUCGGUGCUGGCUUUCGAUACGGGCAGACUAGAGGUAUUCAGGGGAGAACGGAAUUCCUGGUGUAGCGGUGAAAUGCGCAGAUAUCAGGAGGAACAGCGGUGGCGAAGGCGGUUCCCUGGGCAUUAACUGACGCUGAGGAGCGAAAGCAUGGGGAGAGAACAGG
RNAcentral lists this ribosomal RNA (253 nucleotides) under uncultured bacterium. RNAcentral's name for it is "partial 16S ribosomal RNA". It matches the Rfam family "Bacterial small subunit ribosomal RNA", at positions 524 to 776 of the family's 1533-position model. The record is from RNAcentral.